UACAUAGGUCCCGAGCGUUGUCCGGAUUUAUUGGGCGUAAAGCGAGCGCAGGUGGUUUAUUAAGUCUGGUGUAAAAGGCAGUGGCUCAACCAUUGUAUGCAUUGGAAACUGGUAGACUUGAGUGCAGGAGAGGAGAGUGGAAUUCCAUGUGUAGCGGUGAAAUGCGUAGAUAUAUGGAGGAACACCGGUGGCGAAAGCGGCUCUCUGGCCUGCAACUGACACUGAGGCUCGAAAGCGUGGGGAGCAAACAGG
This 252-nucleotide ribosomal RNA is filed under the name uncultured bacterium. RNAcentral's name for it is "partial 16S ribosomal RNA". It matches the Rfam family "Bacterial small subunit ribosomal RNA", at positions 524 to 776 of the family's 1533-position model. The record is from RNAcentral.